This is a long non-coding RNA of Acinonyx jubatus (cheetah), 2063 nucleotides long. RefSeq lists it as uncharacterized. NCBI's taxonomy places the organism in Eukaryota, Metazoa, Chordata, Mammalia, Carnivora, Felidae. The transcript is spliced from 6 exons. The record is from RefSeq and is a predicted model, not a curated record.
UAUUACUUCUAGUGCAACCUAGAACUCCACACGUUCUGUUAUCCAUUCUCCCGAUGAUGGCACAGAGAUUGCCUGGUCGGAAGGCUGUUUCACAGGGAAUAGGGUCCUCAAUCCAGUCCAGUCCAGUUUACAUAUAAAUUCAGUUCUUUGUGUUCCACCAACGUGGGGAACAAGGAAAAUUUGUCCCUGUCAUUAUUAGACAGCUAAGCGGCCUCUGCCUGCCCUUGAUUUGGUGGAGUAAAGGAAGGGGAAGAGAAUAGGAACUGCUGAAUUCAUCUUUCUCUGCUCACUUAACACCUUCGAGAGGGGCGCCAUGCGUUUUAAACAAAUGGGCCAUUCCAAGAGAAUCUUUCAAGGUCAUUUCUCCAGGCUGAGCCCAUUCGAAAACACAGCUGGAAAUAUAGGUUAUGUCUUGAGUACUGUGAUAUUCAGGGUCAAGGACCAGGCAUUGCAAUAAUCCACAUAGCUGGUGAUGUCAACCAAGAGGAAUUUAUGCUGUCAACUGCCCAGACAAAGAUGCAUAUCAUCGCUGAAGCUUCUCAACACACUUCUCUCUCUUGCUUUGUUUGGGGAGGAAGGUCUCUCAAUGAGCAGGGACACUGACAAUUUCGAUUUUGAAAUUGGAUAUGGGAAAAUCAGGAUAAGCAAUAUAAAUACCUAGUGCUUCUUUGUUGACUGUUGACUGGUACUUCCUAUGCCUGAGUAUCAAGACUGUGUUGAUGAGUAACUUGCAUGAAUAAGAAGACUGAGGUUAAGAAAAAUGGACUCUGCCACUCAAAGCCAUGGGACCUUCAACAGCUGUUCUCCAGUGAGCUGGGCUCACCAAAGUCACCCUGGAGCCUGCAUUUGCUGAAGAGACCCAACUUGCCCCACAUCAAAGGCGCUAUCUUCUCCCCAUAAACCAUCUCUCUUUCCCAGCAUCUUUGCCUACUAAUGGCUCACUCACUACAUUUCCUUUGAAUCCAGACCUGGACCCAGGGCCUUGCCGGCCAUUGAUCUCAGAGCCAAGUUCUUGUGGGGAAGGCAAUGAGGAGGACAGAAAUGUUGCCUCUCCUGGAUGAUGUAUGCAUGCAUGUGAAGCCUGGAACUAAAGAAGACACUAGAUCUUUCCUUGAUGACAUGGGACACUGGACUUUACAGCCUCCUCUGCCUCCACAUCCCUGCACCUGUCUUCCAACAUCUGAGGAUUCUACAAAUAUCUGGAGACGCCAACAGGCCUGCCACCCGGCCCACAGACUCUGGAGCAAUGAACACCCCCGGGGAAGUGGAGAUCUGAACUCUGCCUCCAACUGUGAACGGGGGUUUAGUUGGGGGUAGUUCAAGUCAGAGGAGACGAGAGUGCCUGGCAAGAAAAGACACAAUGAAAAGAGAAGAUGAUGGCAGGGACAUAGGGUAUGGGGGCAAAGAAGUCUGGAGAGGCGGCAGUCUGGGGCCUAAGUGGGGCAGUGGGAGGUGAGGGUGGGGGGUGCAUGGCCCCCUAGGCCAGCACAGGCGUUUGGGUUGUGGCCUGUGCCCGGUGGAGGCUCCUGACCAUUCUUAAGCAAGGAUGUAGCAUUCUGUAAUUUCCAACGAAAAGGGCAGUUUUAAUGGUCAUAGAAGGAUGUUAUGGUUAUUAUAGAGAAUUGGAAAGAUACAGAAAAUAUCGAAAAAACAUAAAGAAGCAAAAAUGAGAAAACGCAAAUCUUGUGGCCUAGAGGUAAACAUUGAUAAUGUUAUUGCAUUCCCUUCUUAUUCUUUCCCUCCCUCUCGCACCCUACCUCCCUGUAACGAGUGCUCACUAUGUACAAGGUAUUGUUGUAAGACCUCUGCUCAGUUGAUCCUCACGACAGCCCUGUGUCGAAGACAAAGUAAUUUUCUGCACUUACAGAUGGGGGAGCGUUAAGAAGCUUCUCUGGGCUUCGGACCAGAGGGCAGGCUCUGAACCCCCGGGGCCACAUUGCUGCUUGACGGUCACGUGGUCAACACAAACACACGUGUACGUAGAGAAAGGUAAAAUUUUUGUUUAAAAUGGAGUCUGGCAUUCUAAUCUUCUGAAUUGGGGUUUUAAAAAGAAUUUUGAUGGG